Molecule: non-coding RNA, 20 nt
Filed under: Arabidopsis thaliana (thale cress)
Lineage: Eukaryota; Viridiplantae; Streptophyta; Magnoliopsida; Brassicales; Brassicaceae
Source: RNAcentral
CGGGAUGAACCGGAAGCCGG